This 518-nucleotide long non-coding RNA is filed under the name Vulpes vulpes (red fox). RNAcentral's name for it is "lncRNA (ENSVVUG00000013137.1)". The record is from RNAcentral. Lineage: Eukaryota; Metazoa; Chordata; Mammalia; Carnivora; Canidae.
AUAAAUGUGGACGUCCAGAAUAAGCAUGACAAUGUGUGGUUGGGCAGGGAAUCGUGAAAAAAUAAGCAAGAGUCUCAAUGUGUCGUACUCCAAGAAAUGUUGGGAAGUUCUGGUCAACACAAUGAAGAAAAUGAGGACAAGAGAAAGGUUCACCUUAUCUGAUGUUAAGACUUGAAGUAAUAGAAGGUACCAGUUCUUUAUAUAAUAAAAACUUGAGGGAUCCCUGGGUGACGCAGCGGUUUAGCACCUGCCUUUGGCCCAGGGCUCGAUCCAUGAGACCCAGGAUUGAAUCCCACGUCGUGCUCCCGGUGCAUGGAGCCUACUUCUCCCUCUGCCUGUGUCUCUGCCUCUCUCUCUCUCUCUCUCUCUCUCUCUCUCUGUGUGUGACUAUCAUAAAUAAAUAAAAAUUAAAAAAAAAAAACUUGAUUAACCUUUUGUCCUGUUUACUUAAUCACCCUGCUGGCCAGGCUUUACUAUGAGUUGUUGGUAAACAUAGCAGCCCCCUCAGGAAUUAUGUU